UUAAACUGCUCCUAGACGCAAAUUGUGUUUAGACGCAAUCUGCGUUUAGACGCAAUCUGCGUUUAGACGCAAUCUGCGCUUAGACGCAAUCUGCGCUAAGACGCAAACUGCGCUUAGAUGCAAUCUGAGUUUAGACGCAAUCUGCAUUUAGACGCAAACUGCGUUUAGACGCUAACUGUGUUUAAACAUAAACUGCACUUAAUCAUAAGUAAUC
This 214-nucleotide long non-coding RNA is filed under the name Musa acuminata (dwarf banana). RNAcentral describes it as "long non-coding RNA (MACU_LNC010542)". The record is from RNAcentral. Lineage: Eukaryota; Viridiplantae; Streptophyta; Magnoliopsida; Zingiberales; Musaceae.